This 446-nucleotide ribosomal RNA is filed under the name uncultured bacterium. RNAcentral describes it as "partial 16S ribosomal RNA". It matches the Rfam family "Bacterial small subunit ribosomal RNA", at positions 338 to 795 of the family's 1533-position model. The record is from RNAcentral.
CCUACGGGAGGCAGCAGUCGAGAAUCAUUCACAAUGGGGGAAACCCUGAUGGUGCGACGCCGCGUGGGGGAAUGAAGGUCUUCGGAUUGUAAACCCCUGUCAUGUGGGAGCAAAUUAAAAAGAUAGUACCACAAGAGGAAGAGACGGCUAACUCUGUGCCAGCAGCCGCGGUAAUACAGACGGCUCAAGCGGUGUACGGAAUCACUGGGCAUGAAGCGUGCGGAGGCUGUUUCGUAAGUCGUGUGUGAAAGGCGCGGGCUCAACCCGCGGACGGCACAUGAUACUGCGAGACUAGAGUAAAGGAGGGGGAACCGGAAUUCUCGGUGUAGCGGUGAAAUGCGUAGAUAUCGAGAGGAACACUCGUGGCGAAGGCGGGUUCCUGGACAUUAACUGACGCUGAGGCACGAAGGCCAGGGGAGCGAAAGGGAUUAGAUACCCCUGUAGUC